RNAcentral lists this ribosomal RNA (253 nucleotides) under uncultured bacterium. RNAcentral's name for it is "partial 16S ribosomal RNA". It matches the Rfam family "Bacterial small subunit ribosomal RNA", at positions 524 to 776 of the family's 1533-position model. The record is from RNAcentral.
UACGUAGGGGGCUAGCGUUGUUCGGAAUUACUGGGCGUAAAGCGUACGUAGGCGGCUAUGUAAGUUAGAGGUGAAAGCCUCGAGCUUAACUCCAGAAUUGCCUUUAAGACUGCAUCGCUCGAAUCCGGGAGAGGUGAGUGGAAUUCCGCGUGUAGAGGUGAAAUUCGUAGAUAUUCGGAAGAACACCAGUGGCGAAGGCGGCUCACUGGACCGGUAUUGACGCUGAGGUGCGAAAGCGUGGGGAGCAAACAGG